RNAcentral lists this ribosomal RNA (462 nucleotides) under uncultured bacterium. RNAcentral's name for it is "partial 16S ribosomal RNA". It matches the Rfam family "Bacterial small subunit ribosomal RNA", at positions 28 to 506 of the family's 1533-position model. The record is from RNAcentral.
GAUGAACGCUGACAGAAUGCUUAACACAUGCAAGUCGAUGGGGAAGUGGUGCUUGCACCAUGGCAACCAUGGCGGACGGGUGAGUAACGCGUAAGGGACUUACCUGCAGGACUGGGAUAACAGGGGGAAACUCCUGACAAGACCGGAUAAUGUCAUGGAGCUGCAUGGCUUUAUGAUGAAAGGAGACGCCUGCGGAGAGCCUUGCGUCCUAUUAGCUAGUUGGUGAGGUAAUGGCUCACCAAGGCGAAGAUAGGUAGCCGGCCUGAGAGGGUGGACGGCCACAAGGGGACUGAGAUACGGCCCUUACUCCUACGGGAGGCGGCAGUGGGGAAUAUUGGACAAUGGGGGCAACCCUGAUCCAGCAAUUCUGUGUGCACGAAGAAGGUUUUCGGAUUGUAAAGUGCUUUCAGCAGGGAAGAAGUAAGUGACGGUACCAGCAGAAGAAGCGACGGCUAAAUACGU